This 468-nucleotide ribosomal RNA is filed under the name uncultured bacterium. RNAcentral's name for it is "partial 16S ribosomal RNA". It matches the Rfam family "Bacterial small subunit ribosomal RNA", at positions 28 to 507 of the family's 1533-position model. The record is from RNAcentral.
GACGAACGCUGGCGGCGUGCUUAACACAUGCAAGUCGAACGGAAAGGCCCUGCUUUUGUGGGGUGCUCGAGUGGCGAACGGGUGAGUAACACGUGAGUAACCUGCCCUUGACUUUGGGAUAACUUCAGGAAACUGGGGCUAAUACCGGAUAGGAGCUCCUGCUGCAUGGUGGGGGUUGGAAAGUUUCGGCGGUUGGGGAUGGACUCGCGGCGUAUCAGCUUGUUGGUGGGGUAGUGGCUUACCAAGGCUGUGACGGGUAGCCGGCCUGAGAGGGUGACCGGCCACAUUGGGACUGAGAUACGGCCCAGACUCCUACGGGAGGCAGCAGUGGGGAAUAUUGCACAAUGGGCGGAAGCCUGAUGCAGCAACGCCGCGUGCGGGAUGACGGCCUUCGGGUUGUAAACCGCUUUCGCCUGUGACGAAGCGUGAGUGACGGUAAUGGGUAAAGAAGCACCGGCUAACUACGUG